RNAcentral lists this transfer RNA (64 nucleotides) under Stomphastis thraustica. Its description in RNAcentral is "tRNA-Arg". The record is from RNAcentral. Lineage: Eukaryota; Metazoa; Arthropoda; Insecta; Lepidoptera; Gracillariidae.
GAUUAUAAUUUAAAAAAAAAUAUUUAAUUUGCAAUUAAAAUAUAUUGUAUACUCAAUUUAUCUU